Molecule: long non-coding RNA, 798 nt
Organism: Zeugodacus cucurbitae (melon fly)
Lineage: Eukaryota; Metazoa; Arthropoda; Insecta; Diptera; Tephritidae
Exons: 3
Source: RefSeq, a predicted model, not a curated record
CAAAUUUUUCUGACAUUUCUGAACUAUUAGUUGCCAAUGAAAUUAAAUUAAAUUAAAUUCAACAACUCCAGGCAUUCGGUACUACAUAAAAGAAGUUAACAUAAAUAUGUGGAGGAGAAUAUGUUUGCAUUUGUUGUCAGAGCGGCUGAUCCUUUUAACUCCAGUGCAUCGCUCAUUUCUUGCUUACUUUGACAAAUUAGCUCUCCAGCAAAUGUUGUUCGAAAGCAAAUGGAAAUACCAGCUCAGCUUGCGGAUACUCGCACGUACACACGCACAUAUCUUGUCUGCGCUUGCACGGAACGCUCCCCAGUCAAGGGCAGUCGGAAGUCAGCUUACGCAGAAACGCAAAUACACCUAUCAACGCUUAACGCUGAACAUUCAAACACAUGCCACGGACGAAUUGCUUGUGCUUGUAUUGAGUUGACUUAAAUAAACGAUAUACAAAUACAUAUAUAUAUAUAUAUAAAUACGUAUAUACAUAUUUACAGUUAUGUGACUGUUUAUAGUGGUUUUAGCGUGUGUAUAUACGCUUUUAAAAGUUUCUAUUUAAAUGCAGUCGCUUUUGGGUUAUGCAUGUCUCGCCGCUGCGACUGCGUCAAAAUGAAAAAACUUUCACAUUUUAUUAUGAGAAAUUCUUGGCUUACUUUAUUAUUUCGAAAAAUAUGCGUUCAUGCAAAAUGAGCGCGAUGACAGUCGACGGCAUUUUGUCUGCCACAAGAAGUCAUUCAGACAUAUAUAUAUAUUAUAUGGGUACCUGUCUACAUUACUGCAUUAAAAAUAAACCCUGCAAUAUAAGGG